ACUCCUACGGGAGGCAGCAGUGGGGAAUAUUGCACAAUGGGGAAACCCUGAUGCAGCCAUGCCGCGUGUGUGAAGAAGGCCUUCGGUUGUAAAGCACUUCAGUAGGGAGGAAGGUAGUGUAGUUAACACCUGCAUAUUUGACGUUACCUACAGAAGAAGCACCGGCUAACUCCGUGCCAGCAGCCGCGGUAAUACGGAGGGGUGCGAGCGUUAAUCGGAAUUACUGGGCGUAAAGCGCAUGCAGGCGGCCUGUUAAGUCAGAUGUGAAAGCCCGGGGGCUUAACCUCGGAAUUGCAUUUGAAACUGGCAGGCUAGAGUCUUGUAGAGGGGGUAGAAUUUCAGGUGUAGCGGUGAAAUGCGUAGAGAUCUGAAGGAAUACCAGUGGCGAAGGCGGCCCCCUGGACAAAGACUGACGCUCAGAUGCGAAAGCGUGGGGAGCAAACAGGAUUAGAUACCCUGGUAGACUGUCA
Molecule: ribosomal RNA, 470 nt
Filed under: uncultured bacterium
Lineage: Bacteria
Description: bacterial SSU rRNA
Rfam family: Bacterial small subunit ribosomal RNA
Source: RNAcentral